AGUACAAUCCUGAUAUUAUAAGAGAAACUGCAGAUGGCUCAUUAGAUCAGUUAUGGUUUAUUGGAGUUCGUAAAAAUGCCAUGGAUAACUGUGGUAAUUCUAGAGCUAAUACAUGCAAUCAAGCGCUGACCCUUCGGGGAAAGCGUGCUUUUAUUAGGAACAAGACCAGCCCGGAGGGUUUUCCUUUCGGUCUCCGCUGGUGAACUCUAGAUAACAAUGCCGAUCGCACGGUCUCGCACCGGCGACGCUUCCUUCAAAAGUCUGCUCUAUCAACUGUCGAUGGUACGUUAUGCGCUUAUCAUGGUAAUGACGGGUAACGGAGAAUCAGGGUUCGAUUCCGGAGAGGGAGCCUGAGAAACGGCUACCACAUCCAAGGAAGGCAGCAGGCACGCAAAUUACCCACUCCUGACACGGGGAGGUAGUGACAAAAAAUAACGAUACAGGCCUCUUCGGAGGCCCUGUGAUCGGAAUGAGUACACUUUAAAUCCUUUAACGAGGAUCUACUGGAGGGCAAGUCUGGUGCCAGCAGCCGCGGUAAUUCCAGCUCCAGCAGCGUAUAUUAAAUCUGCUGCAGUUAAAAAGCUCGUAGUCGGAUCUCUGGCCGGGGCGGGCGGUCCGCCGUGAGGCGAGCACUGCCCGUUUCUCCUCGUCUGUAACGGGUGAGGUAGAAUUUCCCGGCCAGUCAUCCGGUUGAUCGUGCGGUGCUCUUAACUGAGUGCCGUGCGAGACUGGAACGUUUACUUUGAGAAAAUUGGAGUGUUCAAAGCAGGCCAAAGUGCCCGAACAGCUCAGCAUGGAAUAAUGGAACAGGACCUCGGUUCUAUUUCGUUGGUCUAAGGGACCGGAGGUAAUGAUCAAGAGGGACUGCCGGGGGCAUUCGUAUUGCGGCGUGAGAGGUGAAAUUCUUGGAUCGUCGCAAGACGCCCGACAGCGAAAGCAUUUGCCAAGAAUGUCUUCAUUGAUCAAGAACGAAAGUCGGAGGAUCGAAGGCGAUCAGAUACCGCCCUAGUUCCGACCAUAAACGAUACCAACUCGCAAUCCGCCGGCGUUCCUCCCAUGACGCGGCGGGCAGCCCCCGGGAAACCAAAGUCUUUGGGUUCCGGGGGAAGUAUGGUUGCAAAGCUGAAACUUAAAGGAAUUGACGGAAGGGCACCACCAGGAGUGGAGCCUGCGGCUUAAUUUGACUCAACACGGGGAAACCUACCCGGCCCGGACACAGUAAGGAUUGACAGAUUGAGAGCUCUUUCUUGAUUUUGUGGAUGGUGGUGCAUGGCCGUUCUUAGUUGGUGGAGCGAUUUGUCUGGUUAAUUCCGAUAACGAACGAGACUCUGGCUUGCUAAAUAGUCUGGCUACCCGUCGCGGUAAGCCAUGAACUUCUUAGAGGGACAAAUGGCUCUCAGCCAUACGAAAUAGAGCAAUAACAGGUCUGUGAUGCCCUUAGAUGUUCGGGGCCGCACGCGCGCUACACUGGAGGAAGCAGCGGGUACAAUACCCUCGGCCGACAGGUCCGGGUAAUCCGAUGAGACUUCUCCGUGAUGGGGACAGGGACUUGUAAUUAUGUCCCUUGAACGAGGAAUUCCAAGUAAACGCGAGUCAUCAGCUCGCAUUGAUUACGUCCCUGCCCUUUGUACACACCGCCCGUCGCUACUACCGAUCGAAUGGCUUAGUGAGGCCAUCGGAUCGUCCGUCUGGCAUCCCGGCUUCGGCCGGUGUCAAGGCGUGACGAAAAGACGGUCAAACUUGAUCAUUUAGAGGAAGUAAAAGUCGUAACAAGGUUUCCGUAGGUG
Molecule: ribosomal RNA, 1787 nt
Filed under: Benthogone abstrusa
Lineage: Eukaryota; Metazoa; Echinodermata; Holothuroidea; Elasipodida; Laetmogonidae
Description: SSU rRNA
Rfam family: Eukaryotic small subunit ribosomal RNA
Source: RNAcentral